This 457-nucleotide ribosomal RNA is filed under the name uncultured Lysobacteraceae bacterium. RNAcentral's name for it is "bacterial SSU rRNA". It matches the Rfam family "Bacterial small subunit ribosomal RNA", at positions 30 to 474 of the family's 1533-position model. Lineage: Bacteria; Pseudomonadati; Pseudomonadota; Gammaproteobacteria; Lysobacterales; Lysobacteraceae. The record is from RNAcentral.
AUUGAACGCUGGCGGCAUGCCUAACACAUGCAAGUCGAACGGCAGCACAGCAGUAGCAAUACUGUGGGUGGCGAGUGGCGGACGGGUGAGGAAUACAUAGGAAUCUACCUCGUUGUGGGGGAUAACGUAGGGAAACUUACGCUAAUACCGCAUACGACCUACGGGUGAAAGUGGGGGACCGCAAGGCCUCACGCGAUGAGAUGAGCCUAUGUCUGAUUAGCUAGUUGGCGGGGUAAAGGCCCACCAAGGCGACGAUCGGUAGCUGGUCUGAGAGGAUGAUCAGCCACACUGGGACUGAGACACGGUCCAGACUCCUACGGGAGGCAGCAGUGGGGAAUAUUGGACAAUGGGCGCAAGCCUGAUCCAGCAAUGCCGCGUGUGUGAAGAAGGCCUUCGGGUUGUAAAGCACUUUUGUACGGGAAGAAAACCUAUUCAUUAAUACUGGGUGGGAAUGACG